GACGAACGCUGGCGGCGUGCUUAACACAUGCAAGUCGAACGGUGAAGGGACCGGUUUUUGCUGGUUCUGGAUGAGUGGCGAACGGGUGAGUAACACGUGAGUAACCUGCCCCCUUCUUCUGGAUAACCGCAUGAAAGUGUGGCUAAUACGGGAUAUUCUGCGCCUGCUGCAUGGUGGGUGUGGGAAAGAUAUUGUUUCGGUGGGGGAUGGGCUCGCGGCCUAUCAGCUUAUUGGUGGGGUGAUGGCCUACCAAGGCGGUGACGGGUAGCCGGCCUGAGAGGGUGGACGGUCACACUGGGACUGAGACACGGCCCAGACUCCUACGGGAGGCAGCAGUGGGGAAUAUUGCACAAUGGGCGCAAGCCUGAUGCAGCGACGCCGCGUGAGGGAUGGAGGCCUUCGGGUUGUAAACCUCUUUCGCCAGUGAAGCAGGCCUGUCCCUUUUGUGGGUGGGUUGACGGUAGCUGGAUAAGAAGCGCCGGCUAACUACGUG
RNAcentral lists this ribosomal RNA (493 nucleotides) under uncultured bacterium. RNAcentral's name for it is "partial 16S ribosomal RNA". It matches the Rfam family "Bacterial small subunit ribosomal RNA", at positions 28 to 507 of the family's 1533-position model. The record is from RNAcentral.